RNAcentral lists this unclassified non-coding RNA (1131 nucleotides) under Stizolophus coronopifolius. Its description in RNAcentral is "external transcribed spacer". Lineage: Eukaryota; Viridiplantae; Streptophyta; Magnoliopsida; Asterales; Asteraceae. The record is from RNAcentral.
UGGUCGGGGCAUGGGCCGCUACACGAGACGCUAAUCGAAGCCACCGAUCAGGAGACACUAGUCGCUACAUGAGUCGCUAAACGAUGAUUAUUGUUGGGACACGAGUUGGGACACGAGUCGGUUUUCGAGCGGGCGCCCCCCAAGUGGGCACGUCGUCGUUCGGGGAUUUCCCUUGACGGCGUGCUUGCGCCAACGGUUGGUCAAUGCCAACCGGGCCGAAAUGAAGUUGUGGCCACACAACAUCAUCGAGGCAUGCCGCGCGUUGAUCUAUGUUGGAUACCUGUCGGGUCGGCUAAUCCCGCACGACGUGCAUGGAACGUCACCGGCCCAUGAAUUGGGCGUUGAAAGCCUUGCUCAACGCUACUGAGGCCAAAUCGCCGCUGAUCCUCGUUUAAAGCAUGUCGAGUUACCCAAGCUUGGCUUGGGACAAGAUGUGCCAAGAACGUGGUGCUGCGGGCCAAGGCAAGCUGACGGGCGACCUGUUGAUCCAUGUUCGAAGUGCGAUUGGUUGGCCUAGCCUGGCUAGCGACUAUACGUCAGUACGAUAUGGUGAUUUCGGUGUGCAUCGAGGCAUGUUGGUUUUAUUGUUUUUCUUUGUUACUUYCGCAUCGUUCGGUGCAUUCUGGGGGUCGUUUUGGCUUUUGGUUGCUUGCUUGGCCUUUCGGCUGGGUGGGUCGCUACUAGUCGGACGGUUUUCGGGAAUGUCGACCGGGAAGGUGCAUGAGUGGUGUUUGGUUUGUUACGGGUGGUUGGCUGUUUGCUUGCGCAACAACGUCCACGCGGCAUACCUCUUCAGUUUUGCUUCAAGACAUGGUUUGUCUUGAGCACAUUGCGGGUUUCCUGUGUUGCAUACCUAUCCGAUGGUAACGUGCCGGCUUUAUGAUGUCCCUUUUCGUCAUGCGUCGCUCAUGCGGCGUGGGACGAACAUCGAAGCGGUCUUUGUGAUCCACCUCGUCUUUGCAUUUGCAACGAUGAUGUGGCCUACGAAGCAUCGCUUGGUCUCUUGCAUACGGAACCUGAUGUGGGCAUGGGUCUUAUAAGAUCCUGAUCUGCCCUCGUUAAGCGUUCUCGCUUCUCCAAAACGAUCGCCUGCCAUGUCUCGGCUUGUCCUUGCAUGGUGGGCUACGUCGA